AGGAGAUGGUGUAAUGGAAGCACUGAAAGUUUUGAUCUUUUUAGUGGAGGUUCAAGUCCUUCUUUCC
RNAcentral lists this transfer RNA (67 nucleotides) under Polypterus ornatipinnis (ornate bichir). RNAcentral describes it as "tRNA-Gln". It matches the Rfam family "tRNA". From Rfam's summary of the family: Transfer RNA (tRNA) molecules are approximately 80 nucleotides in length. Lineage: Eukaryota; Metazoa; Chordata; Cladistia; Polypteriformes; Polypteridae. The record is from RNAcentral.